Molecule: small RNA, 109 nt
Filed under: Sinorhizobium meliloti 2011
Lineage: Bacteria; Pseudomonadati; Pseudomonadota; Alphaproteobacteria; Hyphomicrobiales; Rhizobiaceae
Description: putative ncRNA
Source: RNAcentral
AAUGCAUGUCCCCAAAAUCGUGCAUCGUCUUCGGGAUCGAAUGCAACGCGCUUGAGGGCAUAUCGGAGAUCGCCGAAGCCCGUCCAGCAGAGUUGUGAUAGAUUUGACA